UGCUCUACCUUGUCAUGCUGACACACUAGACACUUAGAAACAAAAUCGGCUACCUCUUUUUUCAUCAUGUUCCACCAAAACUGAGGUCGCAUACUUUGAUACAUUUUAGUGCUUCUAGGAUGCAUGAUAAACUUUGAGUUAUGGGCUCUAACAUGAUAUCCAUUUUCAGCUCACUGUCACAUGAAUCACACACCAUGUUCUAAAAUCUGAGCAACCCAUCGGCAGAUACUUAAAAUUCUAAAUUUACUCUCUAUUCUGCAUCUUUCCUGAGAACUACUAGGGUUGGAUCGACAAAUUGGGCUU
RNAcentral lists this long non-coding RNA (303 nucleotides) under Carica papaya (papaya). RNAcentral describes it as "long non-coding RNA (CPAP_LNC001096)". The record is from RNAcentral. Lineage: Eukaryota; Viridiplantae; Streptophyta; Magnoliopsida; Brassicales; Caricaceae.